This 1085-nucleotide long non-coding RNA is filed under the name Capsicum annuum. RNAcentral describes it as "long non-coding RNA (CANN_LNC019017)". Lineage: Eukaryota; Viridiplantae; Streptophyta; Magnoliopsida; Solanales; Solanaceae. The record is from RNAcentral.
AAAAGCUAAAUUGAAAAACCAAAAAGAGGGAAAAAAAUCAAAAACUACACUAUAGAAAGCUAGAACACAGGAUAUCAACAUUGAUAAUUGAAAAUUGUAUAGAGCUUCUACUUCCAUCGCUAUUGUGCAUAUCCAUUACAUCCAAAGUUCCAUGAAUUAGACUAUUUUCCAGCAUAAUUCAGGAAGGGGACAACAGCCCCUUUUAACUAAUGAGAAUGUGGAAGUGUUCAAACAAUGCCACAUUCUUGAACAACUCAACGUCGAGCUGAUUCAAUUUCCUCACACAGCUGGCCAAAAUCUUAAAUUCUCCUCAAAGAUCCGGAAGAACACCACCUCAUUACAAAGAGACAAAACCGUGACCAAAUUCUUUAUCGCAUAAUUAAUUCAGUAUCCACCAACCGUGCAUAAAUUCGUUAGACUUAGGACUAACUUAUUGUUUGUACUCUUCCAUUAAGUUCCAUGAUUGUCAAAUACACCCACCUUUUGGUUCUGUUAGUAAAACCUAGUAAGAGUAAGGUCUGCCAACAUAUAAACCUCCUCAAACUCUACCUAUAGGGUCCCACAAUUGGUAGGUUUUGUUUGGUUUUUUUAUGACCGUAGUGUCCGGGCCUUCUUUGACACACACCUCAACUAAUUUCAUGCAUACUUGUCACCUCCUGCCGGUAACACAUGCCAGUAACAGAUACUACAUAACUCUGUCUUAUGCCUCCUUGUAAGCUUCUUGUUGGAAUUUAGAGUGCCGUUACUUUUCAUAAAACCCUACUUUGUCAAAGUAUUAGACUCAUAUGAACCCCAUAGAACGAAACUUAUGUGAAAUAAUUCAUCUAACCGACCAAUCUGAUGUGAUUAGCCUUAGAAUCAACACAUCACAAACCGUACAUACAAUGUUUCAAAACAACGAAAUAGAUACCGUAAAGAAAGCAUAUGUUGAGAAAAAGAAGAGGGUGAAAAGUGGAAACACAAAGAUACAAAUAAUGUAUUAAAGAAAGCAUAUGAUGAGAAAAAGAAAAGGGUGAAAAGUGGAAACACAAAGAUACAAAUAACGUAAAACUCCUAAAAAGUCGACGAGCCUGAGAUUGGAGCUU